GACGAACGCUGGCGGCGUGCUUAACACAUGCCAGUCGAACGGAAAGGCCUGCUUUCCCUUGUGGAUUGCGGGUACUCGAGUGGCGAACGGGUGAGUAACACGUGAGUGAUCUGCCCCCAACUUGGGUAUAAGCCUGGGAAACUGGGUCUAAUUCCCGAUAGGACUGCAGGGUGGUGCCUGUGGUGGAAAACGAUUUUCUAGUGGUUGGGGAUGAGCUCGCGGCCUAUCAGCUUGUUGGUGGGGUAAUGGCCUACCAAGGCGGCGACGGGUAGCCGGCCUGAGAGGGUGGACGGCCACAUUGGGACUGAGAUACGGCCCAGACUCCUACGGGAGGCAGCAGUGGGGAAUAUUGCACAAUGGGCGGAAGCCUGAUGCAGCGACGCCGCGUGGGGGAUGACGGCCUUCGGGUUGGAAACUCCUUUCGACCGCGAGGAAGCCACCUGGUUGGAAGGGUGGUGACGGUAGUGGUAGAAGAAGCACCGGCUAACUACGU
This 493-nucleotide ribosomal RNA is filed under the name uncultured bacterium. RNAcentral describes it as "partial 16S ribosomal RNA". It matches the Rfam family "Bacterial small subunit ribosomal RNA", at positions 28 to 506 of the family's 1533-position model. The record is from RNAcentral.